This 492-nucleotide ribosomal RNA is filed under the name uncultured bacterium. Its description in RNAcentral is "partial 16S ribosomal RNA". It matches the Rfam family "Bacterial small subunit ribosomal RNA", at positions 29 to 507 of the family's 1533-position model. The record is from RNAcentral.
AGUGAACGCUGGCGGUAGGCCUAACACAUGCAAGUCGAACGGCAGCACAGUAAGAGCUUGCUCUUACGGGUGGCGGGUGGCGGACGGGUGAGGAAUACAUCGGAAUCUACUUUUUCGUGGGGGAUAACGUAGGGAAACUUACGCUAAUACCGCAUACGACCUACGGGUGAAAGCAGGGGAUCUUCGGACCUUGCGCGAUUGAAUGAGCCGAUGUCGGAUUAGCUAGUUGGCGGGGUAAAGGCCCACCAAGGCGACGAUCCGUAGCUGGUCUGAGAGGAUGAUCAGCCACACUGGAACUGAGACACGGUCCAGACUCCUACGGGAGGCAGCAGUGGGGAAUAUUGGACAAUGGGCGCAAGCCUGAUCCAGCCAUACCGCGUGGGUGAAGAAGGCCUUCGGGUUGUAAGGCCCUCUUGUUGGGAAAGAAAAGCAGCAGGUUAAUACCCCGCUGUUCUGACGGUACCCAAAGAAUAAGCACCGGCUAACUUCGUG